Molecule: unclassified non-coding RNA, 227 nt
Filed under: uncultured Thelephoraceae
Lineage: Eukaryota; Fungi; Basidiomycota; Agaricomycetes; Thelephorales; Thelephoraceae
Description: sequence contains ITS2
Source: RNAcentral
ACACCUCAACCGUUGUGGUUUACCACAAUCGGCUUGGACUUUUGGAGGGUUUUGCUGGCCCCUUGUGUGGGGUCGGCUCCUCUCAAACAAAUCAGCUUACCAGUGUUUGGUGAUGUUGCAGGUGUGAUAACUAUCUACGCUUGCAGCUGUCUACCAUGCAACCUUCAGCGAUGGGGGUUCGCUGGGGCUCACAGAUGUCUCUCCUGAGCGAAGACAGCUUUUUGGAA